AAGGACUUAAUUUUUAAGAAGGACAAGGAAAUGAUACCUUGUCCGUAAGAUUAAGGAAUACAUUUCCAUAUAUGUAUAAACAUAUGCAUAAACAUAUAGUAAAUUACUAUGUGAUUUAGAUUAAAUAUCUGCAGAAAUUAUUCGGUGCACUUAUGAAUAAAAAUUUAAGUCCCAAUUGUUUUAACAAAACCAUACAAUAAACGCAGUUAUUCUCUUUAAACGCAUCUGGAGUUCCCGCUACAACCUUAAGUAUAGACCCUAAGAAGUCUAGACUUCUUGCCAAUGUGGUGCACUCCUAAUGAGUCCCGAAGGUGAUCGAUGUUCGCAUUCAGAAGCAUCUUCAUGUGCGACCGUGGAAACAAGUCGCUCAUGCCGGCGGUCUCUUCCACAACUCGUCUGAAUUCCGAAAGAUUAGAAGAGUGGGUGACUCGUGCGUAUUCCUCCCAUACUAGAAUGCGGCCCUCCACAACUGGAAUGUACUUGGCUUGAGAAAAGUCGGUAAUGUGCGCCGACGCCAAGGAUAGGGAAAGGAGGAUGGCAAGACUGAACCUGCGAAAUGGAAUGGGUACUUUUUACUUUCUGGUUUACUCAUGCAGAGGCUUCCCACCACCAAAAGGAAUGUCUUAAAUGAUAAAUCUUAGGCUCGAAGAUGGAUCUUAUAACUAAUCUUAUAUAUCUUAUAAAAGGUUUUGCUUAAU
Long non-coding RNA from Drosophila ficusphila, 698 nucleotides. RefSeq lists it as uncharacterized. The record is from RefSeq and is a predicted model, not a curated record. Lineage: Eukaryota; Metazoa; Arthropoda; Insecta; Diptera; Drosophilidae. The transcript has 2 exons.